Molecule: non-coding RNA, 1855 nt
Organism: Hydra vulgaris (swiftwater hydra)
Lineage: Eukaryota; Metazoa; Cnidaria; Hydrozoa; Anthoathecata; Hydridae
Source: RefSeq, a predicted model, not a curated record
AUACAUUUUUACAUAUGUACCAGCUUUAGUAAAUAAAACAGUUUAUGUAAGUUUCAAUAGUGAGCUUUUGGAUAAAACGAUGAAAGAUAUUAGCUAUUGAAUAUUGCCUAAAAGAUCUUACCAAUAAAUCAAGCAAUAUUUCACAUUCACCAGAAGAAGUACAAUCAUUGUAUUUAAAGAGUAUAUCAGAUCGAAAACUUUCAACUGAGAGUGCUAUUCCCUUAGGUGCAAAUAAUAUUGAUUGUGAAGUGAACUCUGACAGUAAUCUAAAAAAUUCUGAUUCUUAAUCUUACCCAUUAGAGUCAUCAGAUUCUGAAACAAUUGAUGAUGUCAACAAUGAAAAACUAAAAAAUGAUUUGAUACAGUGGGCAGUUAAGUUUGCUAUAACUGAUGAAGCAUUAGCAUCUUUGUUAAAAAUUUUGGGUAAUUUGUUUCCUGAAUUGCCGAAGGAUACACGCACUCUACGUCAAAGUCUUUUGUACCUGUUACUAAUAUAACUGGAGGACAGUAUUGUCAUUUUGGUAUUAGACAAGAUAAUAGCUUUGGCAAGUAAAUUAGGCUAGACUUUAAAGGAGGCUGUCCGGAAAAUGUCCUUUGCAUUAUUUACUAAUAAUGUCUGCUGUAAACUUAACUGGUCUGGUAUUACCAGAAAUGACAAUGAAAGUAACUUCGUAAAACAAAGUCUAAAAGACUUACACUUGCUUAAAAGAGCUGUAAAAAGAAAUCCUGCAACAACUUCAGCAACUGAAUCAGAUUUUCAAUAUGAGGUUGUGCGUUUUUUGCGUGGUGCAUAAGACCGCAAUGGCGGAUAAAAAGUUAGACAAGACCAAAAAAACAAACAGGCUAAGAAAAAAGUGAUGCCUACUUCAAGUUUUCCAAAACCAUUACAUAAAGACGGCUUUUUUUAGUUCAGAAGAUAAAUAACAUUGUUAAAUUAAAUAAGCAUCUUUAUUUACAAACUUGUUUUCUUUAUUUUACAAUAAUUAAUAUAUUUUUAAAUAUUUUUAUUUUUAAACUCAAUGGAGUAAAGUUUUUGUGCAAUGAGUAUUACUGUUUCCGUGUUUUUCAUAUUCAUUUCCUUUUACAGUAACCUAUUGUAGAUGAGAAUUUAAAUCGUGAUAUUGAAUCUUACCAGAGAAUAAAGUAAGAUUAAUUUUAUUAUUUUGAUAUUAUUUGUUUUAAUGUUAUUUUUGAAAAAAAAAAUCCAAAAUAUAAGUUCUGGAGUCUGUCUACUGUUUGAUUCGUUUGAUUAUAUUAAAUAUAAAUACAACUUUAAGCUUUAAAAUGUAAAGUUAUUGAUGGAAAGUUAAAUUGGUAUUUAACCUAACUUGGUAUUUAACCGGUAAAGCAGAUAAAUAAAAAUUCAACAAAAUUUUUAUUUUACAAGCCAUUAUUUUAAAGUAUUGCUUUAACAAUACCGUUAAAACAUGCUUGUAAUUUAAUGUUACAUUUAUGAUUUAAUAUUUCUUUACAGGAAACUGUUUACCUCAACCAAAGUUAUAUUUCAUAGAAUUAUGUUGACCAUGAUCCAAAUAUUGCCAUGGGCUAAUGGUUUGCAAAAGGUUCACCAUUGCCCUUAAGUAGCUGUGGGUUUUACGGUUUUACUUCCAACCUGGCAUAUAAAUGCACUUAGUAUCUGAAGUUAUUUGUCAAUAACUGGUGAUCAGACUAUUUCAAACGAACACGUUUUUAAGGGCUGAGAAGGUGAAAGUUAGAAGUCUGCAGACUGCAACGUAAAUCAAUUUUCAACACACGGUUUCCUGAAUAUAUUUAUUUUUCGAUUGAAAUUAGAAUAAACUGAACUAAUUGAUAUGUUGAAAAUUAACUAUUUUAUAUUUUAAACGUUCGCUAAACG